GUUGUGGCUCAGUGGUAGAGCGCUUGCCUAGAAGUGUGAAGCCCUGGGUUUGAUCCUCAGCACAACA
This 67-nucleotide transfer RNA is filed under the name Marmota monax (woodchuck). Its description in RNAcentral is "tRNA.Undet". Lineage: Eukaryota; Metazoa; Chordata; Mammalia; Rodentia; Sciuridae. The record is from RNAcentral.